Molecule: ribosomal RNA, 165 nt
Filed under: Roussoella scabrispora
Lineage: Eukaryota; Fungi; Ascomycota; Dothideomycetes; Pleosporales; Thyridariaceae
Description: partial large subunit ribosomal RNA
Rfam family: Eukaryotic large subunit ribosomal RNA
Source: RNAcentral
CGGCAACAGCUCAAAUUUGAAAUCUGGCCUCUUUGGGGUCCGAGUUGUAAUUUGUAGAGGGUGCUUUGGCGUCGGGCGUGGUCUAAGUUCCUUGGAACAGGACGUCAUGGAGGGUGAGAAUCCCGUACGUGGCCGCCGGCCUUCGCCGUGUAAAGCCCCUUCGAC